Seriola aureovittata is the source of this 1150-nucleotide long non-coding RNA. RefSeq lists it as uncharacterized. NCBI's taxonomy places the organism in Eukaryota, Metazoa, Chordata, Actinopteri, Carangiformes, Carangidae. The record is from RefSeq and is a predicted model, not a curated record. The transcript is spliced from 3 exons.
AUUCAGUAUACCCACUGAAAAAGACAUAUAUGUGCUGGAUGACACUGGAACAGAGGUCGAUGAAGAGAUCUUCAGUGACAUUCUGGAGGAAAAAACAGACAUCCUGUGGACGAUUGUCGACACAUUUUCAGUCACUGACUCUCCUGCAUCUUCAUGCACGGACACCUUGUCACUAUCAUCAUGAUAGAGAGUGAGAGAGUGAUACUUUUCUGAUGUCUCCAAAAAGACAGCACAUUGAUGACACCUUUCUGAUGUCUCCAAAAAGACCAUGCAUUGAUGAUGACAGUUCUUCACAGGCCAAAUAGCUUGUCAAGAGAGUUCUGGAACAAAAGCCUGGAGGGGAGAAAAUACUUAAAGAAUAUGCAACUAAAGGAGAGAUGAAGGAUCGAACACGCAGUGAACUUGUCAACAUUGUUGUCGCUGAUAUGUUGGAAAAGUAUGGGUAAGUCAAAUACUCCUGGUACACGAUGCACGAGUACAGAUGAUCAGUAUGUGGUGCCUGUGCAUGUUUUUGUAUAAGAAAUGUGUUAAGUGGUUGCACACUUUUUGUUUUUCAUCUUGGCAAUUAUAUUUGCAAAGAUUGAUUUUACAGGUUUUUUUUUGCACCAUGGCUCCUAACGUAAAACAUGUUUUAUGUCCUUGUAACAAGAGUUGACUGUUCACUUAAUAACAAGACAAGAUACUUGUUAGGAUAUAUUGUAAUAAUUAUUAUUAUAAGAAUAAAGAUGUUAUAUUUUCAAGAAACUCUUGUGUGGACUUGUCAUGGUUUGUUCUCCAUACAUACCUGCCUUCAGUUGUUUUCCACUCAUCACUCCCUUGCUCACCCCAUCUGCCAGCCACACCCACCUCGUCAGUCACUUCAUUCACCUGUUCACUCAGCUGCAGCUCUUCAGCAAUCAAGCCUGGUUAAAAGCUCCACUCUCCUCCACACUCACUGCCAGAUUGUUCUUUGUUCCCAUGAAAGACUUUCCAGCGUUUACUCUUCAUCUGAUCUCCCGGUUCCGACCCUGCCUGCUCCCGACCUACCCGCCUCGUCUCUGCCCUGGUAAUUACUUCAGCCCUUCUGUUUUUGACCACGAUUCUGCCUUGCCUCUUCCUGGUCUUCGUCUGCCUGUUCUCGGGGCUGCUCUGAGUCCUCCACCUCCACUGC